CCGGGUGUAGCGCAGAUGGUAGCGCGCAUGGUUCGGGACCAUGAGGCCGUGGGUUCAAAUCCCGCCACUCGGACCA
This 76-nucleotide transfer RNA is filed under the name Oscillospiraceae bacterium. RNAcentral's name for it is "tRNA-Pro". It matches the Rfam family "tRNA". Rfam says of the family: Transfer RNA (tRNA) molecules are approximately 80 nucleotides in length. Their secondary structure includes four short double-helical elements and three loops (D, anti-codon, and T loops). The record is from RNAcentral. Lineage: Bacteria; Bacillati; Bacillota; Clostridia; Eubacteriales; Oscillospiraceae.